GGGCCCGCACAAGCGGUGGAGCAUGUGGUUUAAUUCGAUGCAACGCGAAGAACCUUACCAGGGUUUGACAUCCUGCGAAUCUCUUGGAAACGAGAGAGUGCCUUCGGGAACGCAGUGACAGGUGGUGCAUGGCUGUCGUCAGCUCGUGUCGUGAGAUGUUGGGUUAAGUCCCGCAACGAGCGCAACCCACGUCUUUAGUUGCCAUCAAGUAAAGUUGGGAACUCUAGCGAAACUGCCGGUGUAAACCGUGAGGAAGGUGGGGAUGACGUCAAAUCAUCACGGCCCUUACGUUCUGGGCUACACACGUGCUACAAUGGCCGGUACAGAAAGCAGCCACUAUGCGAAUAGGAGCUAAUCUUUAAAACCGGUCUCAGUUCGGAUCGCAGUCUGCAACUCGACUGCGUGAAGCUGGAAUCGCUAGUAAUCGGAUAU
This 432-nucleotide ribosomal RNA is filed under the name uncultured bacterium. RNAcentral's name for it is "bacterial SSU rRNA". It matches the Rfam family "Bacterial small subunit ribosomal RNA", at positions 917 to 1349 of the family's 1533-position model. The record is from RNAcentral.